Long non-coding RNA from Harpia harpyja (harpy eagle), 421 nucleotides. RefSeq lists it as uncharacterized. The transcript has 5 exons. Lineage: Eukaryota; Metazoa; Chordata; Aves; Accipitriformes; Accipitridae. The record is from RefSeq and is a predicted model, not a curated record.
CACCACUCCUGCUGCCCACACUCCACCGCCUGCCUGCAGGCUGGGUUAAAGACUCAUCCAUCAAGUGCUGGCUCAGGACCAUGCCGGGGCAAAUGGCACUGCUUUUCUGGAUCCCAUGGCAGCGAUGGGCAAAGGAACAGGGAGACCCAGUGGAGUCGUAGCGUGCGCUGGAGAGUGUUCUUCAGGAAGGUGACAGCCGAUUGCAGAGCAACGCUGAGACGCACCUGACAGCAAAGGUGCCCGGUGGCCACGGACGAGCCUAGGAAGCAUGGCAUGCACCAAGCACACCCAGAGCUGCGCCCGUGCCAGGAGAAGACUUCAAGCACAGGCGGGGCUGAUGGCAACAGUUCCCACCAGCUGUCCAGCUCCAGAAGAUGCAGAAAGGAAAUUCAGUCUUAGACAUUCAGUUGCAGAAGAAAGU